GACGAACGCUGGCGGCGUGCUUAACACAUGCAAGUCGAACGGAAAGGCCCUGCUUUUGUGGGGUGCUCGAGUGGCGAACGGGUGAGUAACACGUGAGUAACCCGCCCUUUACUUUGGGAUAUCUUCAGGCAACUGGGGCUACUACCGGCUAGGAGCUCCUGCUGCAUGGUGGGGGUUGGACAGUUUCGGCGGUUGGGGAUGGACUCGCGGCUUAUCAGCUUGUUGGUUGGGUAGUGGCUUACCAAGGCUUCGACGGGUAGCCGGCCUGAGAGGGUGACCGGGCACAUGGGGACUGAGAGAGGGCGCAGAGUCCUACGGGAGGCAGCAGUGGGGAAUAUUGCACAGUGGGCGGAAGCCUGAUGCAGCAACGCCGCGUGCGGGAUGAAGGCCUUCGGGUGGGAAACCGCUGUCGCCUGUGACGAAGCGGGUGUGACGGUAAUGGGUAAAGAAGCACCGGCUAACUACGUG
This 468-nucleotide ribosomal RNA is filed under the name uncultured bacterium. RNAcentral's name for it is "partial 16S ribosomal RNA". It matches the Rfam family "Bacterial small subunit ribosomal RNA", at positions 28 to 507 of the family's 1533-position model. The record is from RNAcentral.